AGCAGCCGCGGUAAUUCCAGCUCCAAUAGCGUAUAUUAAAGUUGUUGCAGUUAAAAGCUCGUAGUUGAAUUUCGGGGUUAGUAGGUUGGUCAUGCCUCUGGUAUGUACUGGUCUCACUGAUUCCUCCUUCCUGAUGAGCCGUAAUGCCAUUAAUUUGGUGUUGCGGGGAAUUUGGACUGUUACUUUGAAAAAUUAGAGUGUUUAAAGCAAGCUAACGCUUGAAUACAUUAGCAUGGAAUAAUGAAAUAGGACGUUCGAUCCUAUUUUGUUGGUUUCUAGGAUUGACGUAAUGAUUAAUAGGGAUAGUUGGGGGCAUUAGUAUUCAAUUGUCAGAGGUGAAAUUCUUGGAUUUAUUGAAGACUAACUACUGCGAAAGCAUUUGCCAAGGAUGUUUUCAUUAAUCAAGAACGAAAGUUAGGGGAUCGAAGACGAUCAGAUACCGUCGUAGUCUUAACCAUAAACUAUGCCGACUAGGGAUCGGAUGAUGUAAUUUUU
Molecule: ribosomal RNA, 495 nt
Filed under: uncultured Glomus
Lineage: Eukaryota; Fungi; Glomeromycota; Glomeromycetes; Glomerales; Glomeraceae
Description: SSU rRNA
Rfam family: Eukaryotic small subunit ribosomal RNA
Source: RNAcentral